GAUUCCUCUUGGCUUCUCUGAGCAGCAUUCCUUCCCUCUGGGUAUGGGGCAGGAACCUUUCCAGAAUGGGAGUCUUAUAACCUAUCAUCAAACAAGUUCUGACAGAGAAACUGUUAACCACAAGCUGCCUUCUAUUCACUCUGAGGACUGCUACCUGUGAGACUUCAUCUGCAUAACAAGACAGCCUUUGCUCUCCAUGUGUUUCCUCCCCCCACCCUCCCACAACCCAUCCCCAGGCUCCCCAGGAGCCCUAAGUCCUUAUUCUACUCUGUAUGGUAUACAACUUAGUCAUCUGGCCCUUCUUUGAGUCUCAUAUUUUGUGUAGUUACUCUACACAUGCAUAUGUAAUAAACUUGUAUACCUUUUCUCCU
Molecule: long non-coding RNA, 371 nt
Filed under: Homo sapiens (human)
Lineage: Eukaryota; Metazoa; Chordata; Mammalia; Primates; Hominidae
Description: HSALNT0198409
Source: RNAcentral